UACGUAGGGUGCGAGCGUUGUCCGGAAUUAUUGGGCGUAAAGGGCUCGUAGGCGGUUUGUCACGUCGGGAGUGAAAACUCGGGGCUCAACCCCGAGCCUGCUUCCGAUACGGGCAGACUAGAGGUAUGCAGGGGAGAAUGGAAUUCCUGGUGUAGCGGUGAAAUGCGCAGAUAUCAGGAGGAACACCGGUGGCGAAGGCGGCAUCCUGGACCGAAACUGACGCUGAGGAGCGAAAGCCAGGGGAGCAAACGGG
RNAcentral lists this ribosomal RNA (253 nucleotides) under uncultured bacterium. RNAcentral describes it as "partial 16S ribosomal RNA". It matches the Rfam family "Bacterial small subunit ribosomal RNA", at positions 524 to 776 of the family's 1533-position model. The record is from RNAcentral.